UUCUCCUGAUCGGAUGUAAAAGUGAUUAAUAGAGCUCGGUAGACAAGUGUUCAUUUAAGUGUAAUAAAAAAGUGAAAAGUAUAGAAAAAAGAUACAAAUUUAUUCCAACAUAUUGUACCCUGAGAAAGAAGCAAUUUGAUAUAUGGGACCCAUUUAAGGAAAAGGUUUUUUGCUUUUACGAAGAGCAAAUGCAAAACAAAAAGCAACUUAAACUAUUAAAGACAGUUCAGAAAACUGUAUCACUUGAUUACAAGGACUAAAUUUACACCGUAUUGCUCACAUCUGUCAUCUUAAAUAAUUCGUGGACCGUCAUUAAAGGAACCAACAAGC
Non-coding RNA from Drosophila suzukii, 330 nucleotides. NCBI's taxonomy places the organism in Eukaryota, Metazoa, Arthropoda, Insecta, Diptera, Drosophilidae. The record is from RefSeq and is a predicted model, not a curated record.